RNAcentral lists this ribosomal RNA (1469 nucleotides) under Leptotrichia sp. canine oral taxon 319. RNAcentral describes it as "bacterial SSU rRNA". It matches the Rfam family "Bacterial small subunit ribosomal RNA". The record is from RNAcentral. Lineage: Bacteria; Fusobacteriati; Fusobacteriota; Fusobacteriia; Fusobacteriales; Leptotrichiaceae.
GAGUUUGAUCCUGGCUCAGGAUGAACGCUGACAGAAUGUUUAACACAUGCAAGUCGAUGAGGAAGGGGCCUACGGGCUUUGGUACUCAUGGCGGACGGGUGAGUAACGCGUAAAGAACCUGCCUUGGGUUUUGGGAUAACAGCGGGAAACUGCUGAUAAUACCGGAUAUAAUGAACUGUACGCAUGUAUGGGACAUGAAGAGAGAUGACCUGAGAGGGCUUUGCGCCCUAUUAGCUAGUUGGAGAGGUGAAGGCUCACCAAGGCGAUGAUAGGUAGCCGGCCUGAGAGGGUGGACGGCCACAAGGGGACUGAGAUACGGCCCUUACUCCUACGGGAGGCAGCAGUGGGGAAUAUUGGACAAUGGAGGAUGACUCUGAUCCAGCAAUUCUGUGUGCACGAAGAAGGUUUUCGGACUGUAAAGUGCUUUCAGCGGGGAAGAAGGAAGUGACGGUACCCGCAGAAGAAGCGACGGCUAAAUACGUGCCAGCAGCCGCGGUAAUACGUAUGUCGCGAGCGUUAUCCGGAAUUAUUGGGCAUAAAGGGCAUCUAGGCUGUAUAUCAAGUCGGGGGUGAAAACUUGCGGCUCAACCGUGAGCCUGCCUUUGAAACUGAUAUACUGGAGUGUUGGAGAGGUGGGCGGAACUACACGAGUAGAGGUGAAAUUCGUAGAUAUGUGUAGGAAUGCCGAUGAUGAAGAUAGCUCACUGGACGACAACUGACGCUGAAGUGCGAAAGCCGGGGGAGCGAACAGGAUUAGAUACCCUGGUAGUCCCGGCUGUAAACGAUGAUCACUGGGUGUGGGCAUGUAGAGUGUCUGUGCCGAAGCUAAUGCGAUAAGUGAUCCGCCUGGGGAGUACGGCCGCAAGGCUGAAACUCAAAGGAAUUGACGGGGACCCGCACAAGCGGUGGAGCAUGUGGUUUAAUUCGACGCAACGCGAGGAACCUUACCAGAUUUUGACAUCCCCGGUAGGCGGUAUAGUUACCGCUGUGCCUUAGGGAACCGGGAGACAGGUGGUGCAUGGCUGUCGACAGCUCGUGUCGUGAGAUGUUGGGUUAAGUCCCGCAACGAGCGCAACCCCUACCGUCAGUUACCAUCAUUAAGUUGGGGACUUUGGCGGGACUGCCUGCGAAGAGCAGGAGGAAGGCGGGGAUGACGUCAAGUCAUCAUGCCCCUUAUAAUCUGGGCUACACACGUGCUACAAUGGCCGGUACAAAGAGGAGCGAUACGGUGACGUGGAGCGAAUCUCGAAAGCCGGUCCCAGUUCGGAUUGAAGUCUGCAACUCGACUUCAUGAAGUUGGAAUCGCUAGUAAUCGCGGAUCAGCAAUGCCGCGGUGAAUACGUUCCCGGGUCUUGUACACACCGCCCGUCACACCACGAGAGCUUUCUGCACCUGAAGUUACCGGUCCAACCGAGAGGAGGAAGGUACCUAAGGUGUGGACAGUGAUUGGGGUGAAGUCGUAACAAGGU